This 253-nucleotide ribosomal RNA is filed under the name uncultured bacterium. RNAcentral describes it as "partial 16S ribosomal RNA". It matches the Rfam family "Bacterial small subunit ribosomal RNA", at positions 524 to 776 of the family's 1533-position model. The record is from RNAcentral.
UACAGAGGGGGCAAGCGUUGUUCGGAAUUACUGGGCGUAAAGGGCGCGUAGGCGGCCUUCUAAGUCGAACGUGAAAUCCCUGGGCUCAACCCAGGAACUGCGUCCGAUACUGAAAGGCUUGAAUCCGGGAGAGGGAUGCGGAAUUCCAGGUGUAGCGGUGAAAUGCGUAGAUAUCUGGAGGAACACCGGUGGCGAAGGCGGUUCUCUGGGCAUGUCCUGACGCUGAGGAGCGAAAGUGUGGGGAGCGAACAGG